This 270-nucleotide ribosomal RNA is filed under the name uncultured archaeon. RNAcentral describes it as "partial 16S ribosomal RNA". It matches the Rfam family "Archaeal small subunit ribosomal RNA", at positions 477 to 747 of the family's 1478-position model. The record is from RNAcentral.
CAGCACCUCAAGUGGUCGGGAUGAUUAUUGGGCCUAAAGCAUCCGUAGCCGGCGCUGUAAGUUUUCGGUUAAAUCUGUACGCUCAACGUACAGGCUGCCGGGAAUACUGCAGCGCUAGGGAGUGGGAGAGGUAGACGGUACUCGGUAGGAAGGGGUAAAAUCCUUUGAUCUAUUGAUGACCACCUGUGGCGAAGGCGGUCUACCAGAACACGUCCGACGGUGAGGGAUGAAAGCUGGGGGAGCAAACCGGAUUAGAUACCCGAGUAGUCC